RNAcentral lists this ribosomal RNA (253 nucleotides) under uncultured bacterium. Its description in RNAcentral is "partial 16S ribosomal RNA". It matches the Rfam family "Bacterial small subunit ribosomal RNA", at positions 524 to 776 of the family's 1533-position model. The record is from RNAcentral.
UACAGAGGUCCCAAGCGUUGUUCGGAUUCACUGGGCGUAAAGGGUGCGUAGGCGGUCGGGUAAGUCUGAUGUGAAAUCUCACAGCUUAACUGUGAAACUGCAUUGGAUACUAUCCGGCUCGAGGAAUGGAGGGGAGACUGGAAUUCCUGGUGUAGCGGUGGAAUGCGCAGAUAUCAGGAGGAACACCGGUGGCGAAGGCGGGUCUCUGGGCCGUUACUGACGCUGAGAAGCGAAAGCAUGGGGAGCGAACAGG